GUUGUAGCUUAGUGGUAGAGCACUUGCCUAGGAUGUGUGAGGCCCUGGGUUCCAUUCUCAGCACUACA
RNAcentral lists this transfer RNA (68 nucleotides) under Marmota monax (woodchuck). RNAcentral's name for it is "tRNA.Pro". The stretch from base 3 to 63 matches the Rfam family "tRNA", at positions 6 to 65 of the family's 71-position model. Rfam says of the family: Transfer RNA (tRNA) molecules are approximately 80 nucleotides in length. Their secondary structure includes four short double-helical elements and three loops (D, anti-codon, and T loops). The record is from RNAcentral. Lineage: Eukaryota; Metazoa; Chordata; Mammalia; Rodentia; Sciuridae.